This 1032-nucleotide long non-coding RNA is filed under the name Betta splendens (Siamese fighting fish). RNAcentral describes it as "lncRNA (ENSBSLG00000012866.1)". The record is from RNAcentral. Lineage: Eukaryota; Metazoa; Chordata; Actinopteri; Anabantiformes; Osphronemidae.
AGUCCAUCACUCACUCACAGCCUGCCAGAGACAGAGAGAUGGAGCAAGAGAGUGAGGAAGGGAAGGGGGGGGGGGGGGGGGGGGGUGGAGGUGAGGAGAGAGAAUGAGGAAAGAGGUGGCGGACUGGGGCACUGUCACAGUGUUGCAACCACAUGAUUGAGGGGUAGCUGUAUAUGAGGAAGGGGGAGAAAGGUGCAUUAAUGCAUAUUCCAUUCAUCUUUUCUCCAGCAAAAUUUCUCAUUCCUCAGUGAUGUGGGCAAAUCAGAUACCAGCCGGAAUCAGAUGGAAACCAAUGGAAGAUUUCGGAGCGAGAUCAAAGUUGUGGCUGCGGUUUAGAUAAGUCGAGCCGGCACCCAGACACAGUUCAUCUGUCUUAAAUGACUGCUCAUUUCUCUUGUCAGAUACAGGGGAGGCUAUAUAUAGCUGUGAUUAAGAUGUCUGCAGCAACUCUUAGUCUUCAGUCAAUAGGAGGCUUCCAAGGCCUCUGUUGAUCCUCACGCUGCCCAGAAGAGGAGUUUGUUCAGGUCUGAUUUAAAAAGACAGAGGAGGAGUGGGCUCGUCCGGCGUGAGACGCACACAGGCGUCUGCUCAGCUCCUGUGUUAUGACUCGUCGCUCCGCUCCCGCUCAUUUCCUGCCUGGACCUACACCAGCAGAAGGUGAUGAAUGAAGGCCAGGCGGCUCCACGGAGAUGCUGCAAAUGCGGGCAAACGCGUCCAGCGCUCGCCGCCGCCGCCGCGGAGGCCCGCGGAGGCUUCUCGCGGUCUCCGAGGCCCCUUCGAAGGUUUAACAGCGCACAAAUGGGACUCGUUCGCAGCGCGCCGGCAUGGAGACGCCGCCGCCGCAUGAUGUCACUGGCAAACACUCAACGUGGGGGAACACACGGCCAAACAGCGAAACAAUUUGUUUAAUCAUGAAGUGCAUUUACAUAAGGCAACGGCUGCAUAAAUGAAUGCAUAAUUGAACAGGUUAAUGCAUAAUGUAGUGCUCCCCCGGGACAAUAAAUAAAGUGCCUUUUGAAAACGUGUGAGACA